RNAcentral lists this ribosomal RNA (145 nucleotides) under Miracinonyx trumani (American cheetah-like cat). RNAcentral's name for it is "partial 12S ribosomal RNA". Lineage: Eukaryota; Metazoa; Chordata; Mammalia; Carnivora; Felidae. The record is from RNAcentral.
GUUUAGCCCUAAAUUUAGAUAAUUAACCAAACAAAUUUAUCCGCCAGAGAACUAUUAGCAACAGCUUAAAACUCAAAGGACUUGGCGGUGCUUUAUAUCCCCCUAGAGGAGCCUGUUCUAUAAUCAAUAAACCUCAAUACUUCUU